RNAcentral lists this ribosomal RNA (424 nucleotides) under Pedobacter sp. R2.s. RNAcentral describes it as "bacterial SSU rRNA". It matches the Rfam family "Bacterial small subunit ribosomal RNA", at positions 88 to 510 of the family's 1533-position model. The record is from RNAcentral. Lineage: Bacteria; Pseudomonadati; Bacteroidota; Sphingobacteriia; Sphingobacteriales; Sphingobacteriaceae.
CUUGAGACCGGCGCACGGGUGCGUAACGCGUAUGCAAUCUACCUUUAUCUGGGGGAUAGCCCGAAGAAAUUCGGAUUAACACCGCAUAAAAUCACAGUACGGCAUCGUACAAUGAUCAAAUAUUUAUAGGAUAGAGAUGAGCAUGCGUGUCAUUAGUUAGUUGGCGGGGUAACGGCCCACCAAGACCACGAUGACUAGGGGAUCUGAGAGGAUGACCCCCCACACUGGUACUGAGACACGGACCAGACUCCUACGGGAGGCAGCAGUAAGGAAUAUUGGUCAAUGGAGGCAACUCUGAACCAGCCAUGCCGCGUGCAGGAAGACGGCCCUCUGGGUUGUAAACUGCUUUUAUUCGGGAAUAAACCUACUUACGUGUAAGUAGCUGAAUGUACCGAAGGAAUAAGGAUCGGCUAACUCCGUGCCA